Chelonia mydas (Green sea turtle) is the source of this 993-nucleotide long non-coding RNA. RefSeq lists it as uncharacterized. The transcript has 3 exons. NCBI's taxonomy places the organism in Eukaryota, Metazoa, Chordata, Testudines, Cheloniidae. The record is from RefSeq and is a predicted model, not a curated record.
AGAGAUUUGGAAGACCUGUGAAUUGGAGUAAGGGAGACUCCCUUCCCCACAGUAUCUAAGGACCAAGGGUAGCCUCAUCUAAGGGGGAUGAGGUGAAGAGUGGUGGUGCUUUGGCAAGUUCAAUACAAAGAAAUAUUGUGCUGGCAUUCUCAUGGUGUAGAUGACCUCAGGACUGAACUGUACAAGGGAAAAACAGGUCUCUGUUGACUGGAAUGCACAUUUUCUUGAAUCAGCUAUAUAGAGAGAGAGGACCAGGUGUGACCCCACCUAGCAGCCUAGACCCCACACAAUGGCCUGGACACUUUGUAACUUAGCAACUGAUGACCUGAAGGUCCACCCCAACUUGGAAGCCAGCCAGUUUUGGCCAGUGGGAGAACAAAGGGCUGAAGAGAGAGCCACCAAGUGAUCUGUUUGCCCAGGAAAGAAGACAAAGGAUGGAGGAGAGGUUUUUGGGGAGGUGAUAUAGUGUGGUAGUUUUACAAUGCUGGCCAAGAGUCACUCCAGUCUAAAGAGGUCAGGGGUGUGGAAGCCUCCCGGAAUGGACUCACUGAGGGGAACUCAUGGAGUGAGGCGGGCAUGUUGAAGGCUCAGAGGUGCAGCCCCAGGAGGCAGUGGUGUCAAAGGGCUUACCCCAGAGAGAGUGUGUGAUCCAAAGGAGGAUUAUCACUCUAAAGGGGGUCUUCCCAGGGACCAUUACAGAGCCAUGGGAGAGCACCAGACCUGUGGUUUCAUGAUAACGUGCCUCCCAGCCCCAAAUUCCUACUCAUAAAUACACCUUAGGAAAACACAACUAAGAAACAAGCAACAACCUUAUGAAAUGUAGUACUAAACUGAGCUUAUUCCUUAUCAAGACUGACAUGAUUGAUUUCCCUUUUCCCAUCCCUUCAAUAGGCUUUGUACAAUGUUUGCUUCUGGUAUCAGAUUCACAUUUGGGUUCACUCUAGAAAUAAUGUAGUCAUUUCUAAGCAGUUGCUUUAUUAAAAGACAAAACAA